CUUGACAUACCGAUGACAGGUCUAGAGAUAGAUUUUCCCUUUUAGGGCAUCGGAUACAGGUGUGCAUGGUUGUCGUCAGCUCGUGUCGUGAGAUGUUGGGUUAAGUCCCGCAACGAGCGCAACCCCUAUUGUUAGUUGCCAUCAUUAAGUUGGGCACUCUAGCGAGACUGCCAGUAAUAAACUGGAGGAAGGUGGGGAUGACGUCAAAUCAUCAUGCCCCUUAUGACCUGGGCUACACACGUGCUACAAUGGGAAGUACAACGAGUUGCGAGGCGGUGACGCCAAGCUAAUCUCUUAAAGCUUCUCUCAGUUCGGAUUGUAGGCUGCAACUCGCCUACAUGAAGUCGGAAUCGCUAGUAAUCGCGGAUCAGCACGCCGCGGUGAAUACGUUCCCGGGCCUUGUACACACCGCCCGUCACACCACGAGAGUUUGUAACACCCGAAGUCGGUGAGGUAACCGUAAGGAGCCAACCGCCUAAGGUGGGAUAGAUGAUUGGGGUGAAGUCGUAACAAGGUAGGCGUAGAUGA
Molecule: ribosomal RNA, 528 nt
Filed under: uncultured bacterium
Lineage: Bacteria
Description: bacterial SSU rRNA
Rfam family: Bacterial small subunit ribosomal RNA
Source: RNAcentral